RNAcentral lists this ribosomal RNA (256 nucleotides) under uncultured bacterium. RNAcentral describes it as "partial 16S ribosomal RNA". It matches the Rfam family "Bacterial small subunit ribosomal RNA", at positions 524 to 775 of the family's 1533-position model. The record is from RNAcentral.
UACAGAGGGUGCGAGCGUUAAUCGGAAUUACUGGGCGUAAAGGGCGCGUAGGCGGGCUAAUAAGUUAGAUGUGAAAUCCCUGGGCUUAACCUAGGAACUGCAUCUAAUACUGUUAGUCUGGAGUGCAGUAGAGGGUAGUGGAAUUUCCGGUGUAGCGGUGAAAUGCGUAGAUAUCGGAAGGAACACCAGUGGCGAAGGCGGACUACCUGGACUGACGACUGACGCUGGAGGCGACGAAAGCGUGGGGAGCAACAGG